RNAcentral lists this transfer RNA (72 nucleotides) under Bos taurus (domestic cattle). It matches the Rfam family "tRNA". Rfam says of the family: Transfer RNA (tRNA) molecules are approximately 80 nucleotides in length. The record is from Rfam by way of RNAcentral. Lineage: Eukaryota; Metazoa; Chordata; Mammalia; Artiodactyla; Bovidae. RNAcentral also lists the same sequence under 3 other names.
UCCCUGGUGGCUUAGAGGUUAAAGAGUCUGCCUGCAAUGCCGGAGAUCCAGGUUCAAUCCCUGGGUUGGGAA